RNAcentral lists this ribosomal RNA (1392 nucleotides) under uncultured bacterium. RNAcentral describes it as "16S ribosomal RNA". It matches the Rfam family "Bacterial small subunit ribosomal RNA". The record is from RNAcentral.
UUAGAGUUUGAUCCUGGCUCAGGACGACCCUUGGCGGCGUGCCUAACACAUGCAAGUCGAGCGAUGAAAGAGAAAUGGAAUUCUUCGGAAAGAAAUUUUUCUGUUUUAGCGGCGAACGGGUGAGUAACACGUGAGCAAUCUGCCUUUCACAAAGGGAUAGCCUCGGGAAACUGGGAUUAAUACCAUAUGAGACUACACUGCCACAUGGUAAAGUAGUUAAAGCGAAUAAGCGGUGAAAGAUGAGCUCGCGUCCCAUUAGCUAGUUGGUGAGAUAAAAGCCCACCAAGGCAACGAUGGGUAGCCGGCCUGAGAGGGUGAACGGCCACAUUGGAACUGAGACACGGUCCAAACUCCUACGGGAGGCAGCAGUGGGAAUAUUGCACAAUGGAGGGAACUCUGAUGCAGCGACGCCGCGUGAACGAUGAAGGCUUUCGAGUCGUAAAGUUCUGUCCUAUGGGAAGAUAAUGACGGUACCAUAGGAGGAAGCCCCGGCUAACUACGUGCCAGCAGCCGCGGUAAUACGUAGGGGGCGAGCGUUGUCCGGAAUUAUUGGGCGUAAAGGGUUCGCAGGCGGUAAUGUAAGUCUGAUGUGAAAUCCUGUGGCUAAACCACAGUAAGCAUUAGAAACUGCAUAACUUGAGUCAAGGAGAGGUAAGUGGAAUUCCUAGUGUAGCGGUGAAAUGCGUAGAUAUUAGGAGGAAUACCAGUGGCGAAGGCGACUUACUGGACUUGAACUGACGCUGAGGAACGAAAGCGUGGGUAGCAAACAGGAUUAGAUACCCUGGUAGUCCACGCCGUAAACGAUGAGUGCUAGGUGUCGGGAGUCAAAUCUCGGUGCCGUAGUUAACGCAAUAAGCACUCCGCCUGGGGAGUACGUGCGCAAGCAUGAAACUCAAAGGAAUUGACGGGGACCCGCACAAGCAGCGGAGCAUGUGGUUUAAUUCGACGCAACGCGAAGAACCUUACCAGGACUUGACAUAUGUAUGACCGAUAUAGAGAUAUAUCUUUUUCUUCGGAGACAUAUAUACAGGUGGUGCAUGGUUGUCGUCAGCUCGUGUCGUGAGAUGUUGGGUUAAGUCCCGCAACGAGCGCAACCCCUGUUGCCAGUUACCAGCACAUAAUGGUGGGGACUCUGGUGAGACUGCCGAUGAUAAAUCGGAGGAAGGUGGGGAUGACGUCAAAUCAUCAUGCCCUUUAUGUCCUGGGCUACACACGUGCUACAAUGGUCGGUACUGAGAGCAGCGAAACAGUGAUGUCAAGCGAACCUCAAAAAGCCGAUCCCAGUUCGGAUUGUAGGCUGCAACUCGCCUACAUGAAGUCGGAGUUGCUAGUAAUCGCGAAUCAGAAUGUCGCGGUGAAUGCGUUCCCGGGUCUUGCACACACCGCCCGUCA